AGACUCAACCAUGUCGGGUUUCCGACCGGGUUGGACUUGGACGUUGCCGGCGACGGCUCGUCUUAAAAGAGUUAGCGGACAAAGUGACCGAAAACGACGUGAUAAGUACUCGUCGCUAUUAGGACCUCUGAGCCCGCUCACAACCGCCCUCGGGCACCUUUUGA
This 164-nucleotide unclassified non-coding RNA is filed under the name uncultured Tremellales. RNAcentral describes it as "sequence contains ITS2". RNAcentral also lists the same sequence under 1 other name. Lineage: Eukaryota; Fungi; Basidiomycota; Tremellomycetes; Tremellales. The record is from RNAcentral.